RNAcentral lists this small nuclear RNA (59 nucleotides) under Cervus elaphus hippelaphus. It matches the Rfam family "U2 spliceosomal RNA", at positions 1 to 59 of the family's 192-position model. Rfam says of the family: U2 is a small nuclear RNA (snRNA) component of the spliceosome (involved in pre-mRNA splicing). Complementary binding between U2 snRNA (in an area lying towards the 5' end but 3' to hairpin I) and the branchpoint sequence (BPS) of the intron results the bulging out of an unpaired adenosine, on the BPS, which initiates a nucleophilic attack at the intronic 5' splice site, thus starting the first of two transesterification reactions that mediate splicing. The record is from RNAcentral. Lineage: Eukaryota; Metazoa; Chordata; Mammalia; Artiodactyla; Cervidae.
AUUGCUUCUUGGUUUUUUGGCUAAAAUCAAGUAUAGUAUCUUUUCUUGUCAGUUUAACA